CCAGCUCUCCCCACACUGAUGAAUUUAUGUGGGGACCCUUUCCUCCAGUCUCCCAUGUGUCACUGGGAAUACCAUUUGGCAACCUCUAUUUCAAAGGUACAAUCAAUUUUCCACACUACUUCCAUGAUUUUCAAGAAUGAUUAAGAGAAAAAUAAGUUGAACAUAAUGGCCAGAAAGAAGGUUCUGUCAAGUUGUCUUAUGUGGGACAAGAUACCAAGAGCUCGUCUCCAGGAAGGAGGACAUCGUGCGGACAGAAUCACCUCUGGGCCCUGCCGGGGUCGGAGAGGGAGAGAGAGGAGUCAGCUUGGGCGGCGGCGCCCUGGCUGCCGGCACCCGCGGAAGGAAAACUCGCCCAGGCACACGCGCUGCUGCGGGCGCCAAAUAUAACGCGAGCGCCCCGCCCCCUCAGGCCCCGCGCUCACCCACGAGCUCCGCGUGCCCUGAGGCCCGGCUCGGGCGCGGUCGAACGGCGGGGUGGGAAGGACACGUGUGCCCACCCGCGGUGCAGGCAACACCGGGAGCCGCGACACGGGGAAGCGCUUUGUGUGGAGCUCCCGGCUCCGCUCAGGCCCGUCAGUCCCCUCUCAGGGCCUGCGGAGGCCGGGGCGGCUUCUUCGGGCCUCCAGGCCCACCGUGACCAAC
Rattus norvegicus (Norway rat) is the source of this 642-nucleotide non-coding RNA. The record is from RefSeq and is a predicted model, not a curated record. NCBI's taxonomy places the organism in Eukaryota, Metazoa, Chordata, Mammalia, Rodentia, Muridae.